AAGGCGCCAAAAAUCACACGCAGAGUCAGGUCACAUCAGACGAUUAAAUGUCACGUGGUGCAAGUUAACGCGCUAGAGGACCAAGUGAAGACAGGGUUCUACCAGUCAGCAGAGGUCCCUCCUGUUGUUAACGGUUACAGUUGUUAAUGGUAACACGAUCUAUGUACCUGAUGAUAAGUUGACAUAUGUUGAUUACAAAGAGAAAGGUGAAACUACAGGUAACGUUAAACAGAGAACAUCUCUAAAAAUGUUCCAAGAUAUUUUUUUGAAACUUCGUGUAGUUUAUAGUAGAUGUUCUUUUUGUUAAUUAGAAAUUUUUCGGAUAAAUAUUUUUUGUGUUUCCA
Long non-coding RNA from Patella vulgata (common limpet), 344 nucleotides. RefSeq lists it as uncharacterized. The record is from RefSeq and is a predicted model, not a curated record. NCBI's taxonomy places the organism in Eukaryota, Metazoa, Mollusca, Gastropoda, Patellidae. The transcript is spliced from 3 exons.